GCCCGGGCCCUGGGCCACCAAAGCCUCGGCGCUGCGGCCCAGCGGGUCUCCCUCCAUCUGCUCCCACACUCCGAAGACUUACAGGAAUGAAAAAUCCGCUUGCCCUGCGCAGUGGAGGGGGACUCUGAGUAAGAUGACCAAAAAUCACAGCCAUGCUGCCUAACCUGUCGAGUAUCCCCAUCAUUUUCUGCUUUUGGAACAGAUUUCCAGUAAAACUGCAGGUUCUUUUGCUUUUCAAAAUGGAGUGAAUUUUAACAAAGUCUAAUUUCCCUGCAACUGUCUGUCUGUUUCCACUCGUUUUCUUUUCAAGUCGCCUGAUUGGACUGAUUUUAGUUGCUGCCUGUUACAUUCAGUCAGUGGGAUUCACCUCACUCUGAUAAAUGUUCAGUAAUGAAUUUCAGUUUCCAUAUCUGAAUAUUAUAAAACCUAUCUCCAAGCAGGCAAACAAAAACAUUAUUUUUAUUUCUGCCGCAAAAAUGCUUUUGUAACCAUGAAAGGAUUAAAGGACAUCAUAUCCCUGAUUGGAUCCUUUGAAUAACAUGCCUAAUGCAAUAAUCUAUUCACAUUUACAACCCAUGGUCACUAUCCUAGGUAAUCCAGAUCUUAAAAAUACAUUUCCGUCAGCAUUCUGAGGUUAUUACAGAAAGCAUGACAUCCGAGUUGGAACAAUGAUCAUCCUUGAUGAAGUCAAACAAGAGGACAUGACUUGAGAAUUAAGGGACAGAAGUUUAGGGGUAACAUGAGGGGGAACUUCUUUACUCAGAGAGUGGUAGCUGUGUGCAAUGAGCUUCCAGUGGAAGUGGUGGAGGCAGGUUCGAUUUUAUCAUUUAAAAAUAAAUUGGAUAGGUAUAUGGACGGGAAAGGAAUGGAGGGUUAUUGUCUGAGUGCAGGUAGAUGGGACUAGGGGAAAAUAUGUUUUCGGCACGGACUUGAAGGGCCGAGAUGGCCCGUUUCCGUGCUGUAAUUGUUAUAUGGUUAUAAGUGUAACAGGAAUGCCUGGAUGAUCAGAUAGAAGGGUAUGGGCUAAAUGCUGGCAAAUAGGACCAGCUUAGAUGGAGCAUCUUGGCCAGCGUGGAAGGGUUGGGCUGAAGUGCCUGUUUCCUCAACAUUAGCCACCACCAGUAGGUUGAAGAGCCCUUUUCCUUGCUGCAUCUAUAAGCGAAACUUGAGGUGAAGGAAGCUUCCAGGCUAGAGUUAUUUUGUAACUUGGCACAUCGAGCAUGGUCAUAAGCAUAUUUGUAUACACAUCAAUAAUUGGAGUCAUCAAGAGAGUCAGCUCUCACAACACUAAUUUUGAGUGUUUGGGUUCCCUGUCCUCAGAAGCUUUUAGACCACACAUAUUAAUUACUUUGACCCAACAAAGAUAUUUGAACAUUCAGAGGUGUCUUGUCUGCUGCAGUGUGCUGACAUUGUAAAUGGGUAAAUCAAUGAAACCUUUUAUCAGACUCAAAGUAUCAACCUAAUCAAUGUUGUAGCUAUUGAAAUUGUAUCGAAUCACCUGCUGUUAUCUUUGAUCUCAGUAUAAAAUGUGAUGCACUUUGAGUUUGAGAGUUUCUAUUAAUCGGUUCUGCAAAAGUGUAUCUAUUUCUCUUAAUGAAUAAAGACUUUUUUAUCAAUCA
Long non-coding RNA from Amblyraja radiata (thorny skate), 1619 nucleotides. RefSeq lists it as uncharacterized. The record is from RefSeq and is a predicted model, not a curated record. NCBI's taxonomy places the organism in Eukaryota, Metazoa, Chordata, Chondrichthyes, Rajiformes, Rajidae. The transcript is spliced from 3 exons.